This is a non-coding RNA of Podarcis lilfordi (Lilford's wall lizard), 213 nucleotides long. The record is from the annotation of a GenBank genome assembly. NCBI's taxonomy places the organism in Eukaryota, Metazoa, Chordata, Lepidosauria, Squamata, Lacertidae.
CCAGGCACUCCUGUCUUCCACUGCCUCCUGCAGUUUGGUCAAACUCAUGCUGGUAGCUUUGAGAACACUAUCCAACCAUCUCGUCCUCUGUCGUCCCUUCUCCUUGUGCCCUCCAUCUUUCCCAACAUCAGGGUCUUUUCCAGGGAGUCUUCUCUUCUCAUGAGGUGGCCAAAGUAUUGGAGCCUCAGCUUCAGGAUCUGUCCUUCCAGUGAG